CCUGGUGGCUCAGAGGUUAAAGCGUCUGGCUGCAAUGCAGGAGACCCAGGUUCAAUCCCUGGGUCAGGA
This 69-nucleotide transfer RNA is filed under the name Ovis aries (sheep). It matches the Rfam family "tRNA". Rfam says of the family: Transfer RNA (tRNA) molecules are approximately 80 nucleotides in length. Their secondary structure includes four short double-helical elements and three loops (D, anti-codon, and T loops). The record is from Rfam by way of RNAcentral. Lineage: Eukaryota; Metazoa; Chordata; Mammalia; Artiodactyla; Bovidae.